This is a long non-coding RNA of Diceros bicornis minor, 623 nucleotides long. RefSeq lists it as uncharacterized. The record is from RefSeq and is a predicted model, not a curated record. The transcript has 4 exons. Lineage: Eukaryota; Metazoa; Chordata; Mammalia; Perissodactyla; Rhinocerotidae.
UCGCCCCGCCCGUGGUUCCCCUGGGCCUGGGUCCGCCCGCGACGGCCCCCAAGCUCCCACUGGGGCCUGGAGGACAGAGUUUACCGGAGAGACCCCCUUGUUGGAGAUCUCCCGCUGAAGGACGCGGCCGCGUCGCUGAAUUUGCCCGGAAGGGGGAGUAGGAGUUCUCCUGCCUGUCACUCUCAGUCAAGCCUCGUGAAUUUCUCUCGUUCCCUUCUACACGCGCCCUCCGCAGUCUCUUCAAAUUGUCAUCCCACCCUGACAGCUGCACUGCAUCAGUGGUGACAGGUCCAGGAACGCAGGCAGUGAAAAGAAGAGAUUGGACCUGGAAAAGAAACUUUAUGAACAUAAUCAAUCUGAUAUAUGCAGCCUCUCAUUAAAAUCAAAUUCCACUGGGAGAAAUUACACACUUGCACCGUGAUUGGGAAGAACAGGCCGCGUUCACUCAACCACUGAUGGAACUGGAGGGUCAUCAGACGAGACUCGCAAACACCGUGUGUUCUUUAGGAGCAGACUGAAGCCGUUGACCUCUAGGGUGAUUGUGAAAGGAAUUUGGGCUCCGUCACUGUUUCUGAAUAAGUCAGAACAGUCCAGCACUCACUCCUUGGCAGUGCGGAAGAUGA